GUCUAUAUGAAUAUCAAACAAAGAAAACAGAUCGUCAGAUGGAUUCAUGACAAAAUUGUGUUUUUGUGAUGGUGAUGUAAUUGGAGAUCUUGCUUUACUGAACAUUCUUGCUACUUACAAUUUUGUCUAUCUAUAAUGAACUUGGCCCUUUAGUUCCAGAGGAAAAUAUUUUGUAAAAACUAAUGAAAAUUGUUAAAAAUUGACUAUAAAGGGCAAUAAC
Molecule: long non-coding RNA, 220 nt
Filed under: Mytilus galloprovincialis (Mediterranean mussel)
Lineage: Eukaryota; Metazoa; Mollusca; Bivalvia; Mytilida; Mytilidae
Source: RNAcentral